RNAcentral lists this ribosomal RNA (301 nucleotides) under uncultured bacterium. Its description in RNAcentral is "partial 16S ribosomal RNA". It matches the Rfam family "Bacterial small subunit ribosomal RNA", at positions 509 to 807 of the family's 1533-position model. The record is from RNAcentral.
CAGCAGCCACGGGAAUACGGAGGGAGCUAGCGUUGUUCGGAAUUACUGGGCGUAAAGCGCGCGUAGGCGGUUACUCAAGUCAGAGGUGAAAGCCCGGGGCUCAACCCCGGAACUGCCUUUGAAACUAGGUGACUAGAAUCUUGGAGAGGUCAGUGGAAUUCCGAGUGUAGAGGUGAAAUUCGUAGAUAUUCGGAAGAACACCAGUGGCGAAGGCGACUGACUGGACAAGUAUUGACGCUGAGGUGCGAAAGCGUGGGGAGCAGACAGGAUUAGAUACCCCGGUAGUCCCUGUCUCUUAUAC